RNAcentral lists this ribosomal RNA (491 nucleotides) under uncultured bacterium. RNAcentral describes it as "bacterial SSU rRNA". It matches the Rfam family "Bacterial small subunit ribosomal RNA", at positions 30 to 514 of the family's 1533-position model. The record is from RNAcentral.
AUUGAACGCUGGCGGCAUGCCUUACACAUGCAAGUCGAACGGUAACAGGUCUUCGGAUGCUGACGAGUGGCGAACGGGUGAGUAAUACAUCGGAACGUGCCCGAUCGUGGGGGAUAACGCAGCGAAAGCUGUGCUAAUACCGCAUACGAUCUACGGAUGAAAGCGGGGGACUCGCAAGACCUCGCGCGGACGGAGCGGCCGAUGGCAGAUUUAGGUAGUUGGUGGGAUAAAAGCUUACCAAGCCGACGAUCUGUAGCUGGUCUGAGAGGACGACCAGCCACACUGGGACUGAGACACGGCCCAGACUCCUACGGGAGGCAGCAGUGGGGAAUUUUGGACAAUGGGCGCAAGCCUGAUCCAGCCAUGCCGCGUGCAGGAUGAAGGCCUUCGGGUUGUAAACUGCUUUUGUACGGAACGAAAAGCUACUCUCUAAUACAGGGGUGAAGUGACGGUACCGUAAGAAUAAGCACCGGCUAACUACGUGCCAGCAC